Molecule: transfer RNA, 57 nt
Filed under: Muntiacus reevesi (Reeves' muntjac)
Lineage: Eukaryota; Metazoa; Chordata; Mammalia; Artiodactyla; Cervidae
Also listed under: 1 other name
Rfam family: tRNA
About the family: Transfer RNA (tRNA) molecules are approximately 80 nucleotides in length. Their secondary structure includes four short double-helical elements and three loops (D, anti-codon, and T loops). Further hydrogen bonds mediate the characteristic L-shaped molecular structure. tRNAs have two regions of fundamental functional importance: the anti-codon, which is responsible for specific mRNA codon recognition, and the 3' end, to which the tRNAs corresponding amino acid is attached (by aminoacyl-tRNA synthetases). tRNAs cope with the degeneracy of the genetic code in two manners: having more than one tRNA (with a specific anti-codon) for a particular amino acid; and 'wobble' base-pairing, i.e. permitting non-standard base-pairing at the 3rd anti-codon position.
Source: Rfam by way of RNAcentral
UAGCUCAGUUGGUAAAGAAUCUGCCUGCAAUGCAGGAGACCUAGGUUCAAUCCCUGG